This 225-nucleotide ribosomal RNA is filed under the name Pseudoalteromonas shioyasakiensis. Its description in RNAcentral is "partial 16S ribosomal RNA". It matches the Rfam family "Bacterial small subunit ribosomal RNA", at positions 1 to 222 of the family's 1533-position model. The record is from RNAcentral. Lineage: Bacteria; Pseudomonadati; Pseudomonadota; Gammaproteobacteria; Alteromonadales; Pseudoalteromonadaceae.
UAAUUGAAGAGUUUGAUCAUGGCUCAGAUUGAACGCUGGCGGCAGGCCUAACACAUGCAAGUCGAGCGGAAACGAAGAGGUGCUUGCACCUCUGGCGUCGAGCGGCGGACGGGUGAGUAAUGCUUGGGAAUAUGCCUUAUGGUGGGGGACAACAGUUGGAAACGACUGCUAAUACCGCAUAAUGUCUACGGACCAAAGUGGGGGACCUUCGGGCCUCACGCCAUA